This is a long non-coding RNA of Oncorhynchus keta (chum salmon), 424 nucleotides long. RefSeq lists it as uncharacterized. The record is from RefSeq and is a predicted model, not a curated record. NCBI's taxonomy places the organism in Eukaryota, Metazoa, Chordata, Actinopteri, Salmoniformes, Salmonidae. The transcript is spliced from 3 exons.
AGGCCAGCGACACACCAUUUUUAAAUUCAGGCUGGUAGGUACUCACUAGCCAGUAGCUGUCUUUGAUUGGUAGAUUUAGUAUUCCCAGUAUUGGUACUCACUAGCCAGUAGCUGUCUUUGAUUGGUAGAUUUAGUAUUCCCAGUAUUGGUACUCACUAGCCAGUAGCUGUCUUUGAUUGGUAGAUUUAGUAUUCCCAGUAUUGGUACUCACUAGCCAGUAGCUGUCUUUGAUAGGUAGAUUUAGUAUUCCCAGUAUUGGUACUCACUAGCCAGUAGCUGUCUUUGAUUGGUAGAUUUAGUAUUCCCAGUAUUGGUACUCACUAGCCAGUAGCUGUCUUUGAUUGGUAGAUUUAGUAUUCCCAGUAUUGGUACUCACUAGCCAGUAGCUGUCUUUGAUAGGUAGAUUUAGUAUUCCCAGUAUUGG